This 1005-nucleotide long non-coding RNA is filed under the name Scleropages formosus (Asian bonytongue). RNAcentral describes it as "lncRNA (ENSSFOG00015026697.1)". Lineage: Eukaryota; Metazoa; Chordata; Actinopteri; Osteoglossiformes; Osteoglossidae. The record is from RNAcentral.
UGAGGCUCGAGUUGAAGAAGCAGAUGUGGCUAAUUAUGUGCGCAAGUAAUGUAUUUAUUAAUCAAUAGGGGUAAUUUUAAAAAUCUAUAAUUAGUGUUAUUUCAUUUAACGGAGAGCAGGAGCUCUGCCUCUGUCAGCGUGAGGUGUCUGGAUUGAGCGUUUCACAGGAGCAGACCUGCAGAACUUGAGGAGCCAGGCCGGACCACCCCCCCACACCUUGAGAAGCAACAUUACAGAGACGCAUCGUGGUGUUAGAAUCUUCCACCUAAAUGCUUACAAAGAUCAACUUUACUCUGUUUCCCAUGAGGUAGACUCUGCCAAGAGACAGAAAGCAGCCGGAAGGAGGGCAGAGGCGCUCCAGUGACAGGAGCAGAGCUGUGGGACGGGUCGCACUUCAUCCCCUGCAGAGCUUGAAUGAACUGUGACUGUUUGUGUCAUGCCUCUCUAAAGAAUCUGCCAGACCCCAGUCGAAGACAGCGUCUGCCACAACAAAGACAUUGUCCGCAGCUAUGACAUGCUCGAAGGAAUAAGAGGGAUUUGUUCUAAUACUUAAAGCCAAGCGUGCUCUUAUUGUUUUUACAAUGAGGGCCACUGUGCCUGUCCUCUUUCUGCCUUUGCCUUUCAUUUAAUCUUUUUUUGCUUCCCAGUCGAGAGGCGUCAUGUCUGAAAGGCCGUCUAUAAAAUGAGCAAAGACAUGAGCCAUUUUACUGCAAGGAAACACGUCCCGCCAAACAGCCUGCACGUCCAGCGUCUCACUGGGAGUCACAAUUACUUUCCUUUGAGAUAAGGGAGAGAAGGCAGAAAUGAAAGAGUUUGGCUUUUUUUUUUCAGGAAGGGAUUUAGACUCUGUGGGGCCGGCGGUGGUCUGUACAGAAGCUGACGCCACACGUGAGAGUGUUUAGAGAGGCUGGAGGAGCGCAGAUAAAGGCAGACGGCACCGCCCAGUACGAGCUGCAGGGCACAGCACGGUGACCCGACGAGACCAGCACACAUCCAUCAGCUCCU